RNAcentral lists this ribosomal RNA (507 nucleotides) under uncultured bacterium. RNAcentral's name for it is "bacterial SSU rRNA". It matches the Rfam family "Bacterial small subunit ribosomal RNA", at positions 707 to 1213 of the family's 1533-position model. The record is from RNAcentral.
UACCGAUGGCGAAGGCAGCCAUCUGGCCUAAUACUGACGCUGAGGUACGAAAGCAUGGGGAGCAAACAGGAUUAGAUACCCUGGUAGUCCAUGCCGUAAACGAUGUCUACUAGCCGUUGGGGCCUUUGAGGCUUUAGUGGCGCAGCUAACGCGAUAAGUAGACCGCCUGGGGAGUACGGUCGCAAGACUAAAACUCAAAUGAAUUGACGGGGGCCCGCACAAGCGGUGGAGCAUGUGGUUUAAUUCGAUGCAACGCGAAGAACCUUACCUGGCCUUGACAUAGUAAGAACUUUCCAGAGAUGGAUUGGUGCCUUCGGGAACUUACAUACAGGUGCUGCAUGGCUGUCGUCAGCUCGUGUCGUGAGAUGUUGGGUUAAGUCCCGCAACGAGCGCAACCCUUUUCCUUAUUUGCCAGCGAGUAAUGUCGGGAACUUUAAGGAUACUGCCAGUGACAAACUGGAGGAAGGCGGGGACGACGUCAAGUCAUCAUGGCCCUUACGGCCAGGG